RNAcentral lists this ribosomal RNA (462 nucleotides) under uncultured bacterium. RNAcentral describes it as "partial 16S ribosomal RNA". It matches the Rfam family "Bacterial small subunit ribosomal RNA", at positions 338 to 795 of the family's 1533-position model. The record is from RNAcentral.
CCUACGGGUGGCAGCAGUGAGGAAUAUUGGUCAAUGGACGCAAGUCUGAACCAGCCAAGUAGCGUGCAGGAUGACGGCCCUCCGGGUUGUAAACUGCUGUUAGUUGGGAAUAAAAGGGGGCUCGUGAGCCCCGUCUUGUAUGUACCAUCAGAAAAAGGACCGGCUAAUUCCGUGCCAGCAGCCGCGGUAAUACGGAAGGUCCGGGCGUUAUCCGGAUUUAUUGGGUUUAAGGGGAGCGUAGGCCGGCUUUUAAGUCAGCUGUGAAAGUCCGCGGCUCAACCGUGGAAUUGCAGUUGAAACUGGAGGCCGUUAGUGCACACAGGGAUGCCGGAAUUCAUGGUGUAGCGGUGAAAUGCUUAGAUAUCAUGAAGAACUCCGAUCGCGAAGGCAAGUGUCCGGGGUGCAACUGACGCUGAGGCUCGAAAGUGCGGGUAUCAAACAGGAUUAGAUACCCCGGUAGUC